RNAcentral lists this ribosomal RNA (253 nucleotides) under uncultured bacterium. RNAcentral describes it as "partial 16S ribosomal RNA". It matches the Rfam family "Bacterial small subunit ribosomal RNA", at positions 524 to 776 of the family's 1533-position model. The record is from RNAcentral.
UACGUAGGGCGCGAGCGUUAAUCGGAAUUACUGGGCGUAAAGUGUGCGCAGGCGGCUUCGCAAGUCGAGUGUGAAAUCCCCGAGCUUAACUUGGGAAUUGCGCUCGAAACUACGGAGCUGGAGUGUGGCAGAGGAAGGUGGAAUUCCACGUGUAGCGGUGAAAUGCGUAGAGAUGUGGAGGAACACCGAUGGCGAAGGCAGCCUUCUGGGCCAACACUGACGCUCAGGCGCGAAAGCGUGGGGAGCAAACAGG